This 964-nucleotide ribosomal RNA is filed under the name Halichondria panicea. Its description in RNAcentral is "SSU rRNA". It matches the Rfam family "Eukaryotic small subunit ribosomal RNA", at positions 38 to 1001 of the family's 1831-position model. The record is from RNAcentral. Lineage: Eukaryota; Metazoa; Porifera; Demospongiae; Suberitida; Halichondriidae.
UCAAGACUAAGCCAUGCAUGUCUAAGUAUAAACGCUUCUAUACUGUGAAACUGCGAAUGGCUCAUUAAAUCAGUUAUAGUUUAUUUGAUGGUUUCUUACUACUUGGAUAACCGUGGUAAUUCUAGAGCUAAUACAUGCACAAAGUCCCGACUGUUCGGAAGGGAUGUAUUUAUUAGAUCCAAAACCAAUGCGAGUCUUUCGGGGCUCGGUUUCUUGGUGAUUCAUGAUAACUGCUCGAACCGUAUGGCCUUUGCGCCGACGGUGCUUCAUUCAAAUUUCUGCCCUAUCAACUUUCGAUGGUACGGUAGUGGCCUACCAUGGUUGCAACGGGUGACGGAGAAUUAGGGUUCGAUUCCGGAGAGGGAGCCUGAGAAACGGCUACCACAUCCAAGGAAGGCAGCAGGCGCGCAAAUUACCCAAUCCCGACUCGGGGAGGUAGUGACAAUAAAUAACAAUGCCGGGCUAUUGUAGUCUGGCAAUUGGAAUGAGUACAAUCUAAAUCCCUUAACGAGGAACAAUUGGAGGGCAAGUCUGGUGCCAGCAGCCGCGGUAAUUCCAGCUCCAAUAGCGUAUAUUAAAGUUGUUGCAGUUAAAAAGCUCGUAGUUGGAUUUCGGGGUGGCCUGGCUGGUCCACCGCAAGGUGAGUACUGGUCAGCCGCCCUUCCUCUCGAAAGCCCCGACUGCUCUUCAUUGUAGUGGUCGGGUAGUUCGGGACGUUUACUUUGAAAAAAUUAGAGUGUUCAAGGCAGGCUAUCGCCUGAAUACAUUAGCAUGGAAUAAUGGAAGAGGACCUCGGUCCUAUUUUGUUGGUUUCUAGGGCCGAAGUAAUGAUUAAGAGGGACAGUUGGGGGCAUUCGUAUUUAAUUGUCAGAGGUGAAAUUCUUGGAUUUAUGAAAGACGAACUAGUGCGAAAGCAUUUGCCAAGGAUGUUUUCAUUAAUCAAGAACGAAAGUUAGGGGUUCGA